UACGUAGGGUCCGAGCGUUGUCCGGAAUUAUUGGGCGUAAAGAGCUCGUAGGCGGUCUGUCACGUCGGCUGUGAAAACCCGGGGCUCAACCCCGGGCCUGCAGUCGAUACGGGCAGACUAGAGUGCGGUAGGGGAGACUGGAAUUCCUGGUGUAGCGGUGAAAUGCGCAGAUAUCAGGAGGAACACCGGUGGCGAAGGCGGGUCUCUGGGCCGUAACUGACGCUGAGGAGCGAAAGCGUGGGGAGCGAACAGG
RNAcentral lists this ribosomal RNA (253 nucleotides) under uncultured bacterium. RNAcentral's name for it is "partial 16S ribosomal RNA". It matches the Rfam family "Bacterial small subunit ribosomal RNA", at positions 524 to 776 of the family's 1533-position model. The record is from RNAcentral.